GAUGAACGCUGGCGGCGUGCCUAAUACAUGCAAGUCGAGCGAACAGACGAGGAGCUUGCUCCUCUGACGUUAGCGGCGGACGGGUGAGUAACACGUGGAUAACCUACCUAUAAGACUGGGAUAACUUCGGGACACCGGAGCUAAUACCGUAUAAUAUAUUGAACCGCAUGGUUCAAUAGUGAAAGACGGCUUUGCUGUCACUUAUAGAUGGAUCCGCGCCGCAUUAGCUAGUUGGUAAGGUAACGGCUUACCAAGGCAACGAUGCGUAGCCGACCGGAGAGGGGGGUAGGCCACACGAGAAGUGGGACGGGGACAAGACGCCUAAGGGAGGCAGCAGUAGGGAAUCUGCCGCAAUGGUCGAGAGCCUGACGGAGCAACGCCACGCGAGUGAUGACGGUCUUCCGAUCGUAAAACUCUGUUAUGAGUGAAGAACAAAUGUGGAAGUUACUAUGCACGUCUUGACGGUACCUAAUCAGAAAGCCACGGCUAACUACGUG
RNAcentral lists this ribosomal RNA (497 nucleotides) under uncultured bacterium. RNAcentral's name for it is "partial 16S ribosomal RNA". It matches the Rfam family "Bacterial small subunit ribosomal RNA", at positions 28 to 507 of the family's 1533-position model. The record is from RNAcentral.